CGGCUUCCAUGCAGGUCGAGGGGCAGCAUUUCAGUUUGCUUGCAAACUGGAGAUGGCGACCGGNUNCACGGGCUGAGUAACACGCUAUCCNACCUGCCGAUAACUCGGGGAUAGCCUUUCGAAAGAAAGAUUAAUACCCGAUGGUAUAAUCAGACCGCANGGUCUUAUUAUUAAAGAAUUUCGGUUAUCGAUGGGGAUGCGUUCCAUUAGGCAGUUGGUGAGGUAACGGCUCACCAAACCUUCNAUGGAUAGGGGUUCUGAGAGGAAGGUCCCCCACAUUGGAACUGAGACACGGUCCAAACUNAUACGGGAGGCAGCAGUGAGGAAUAUUGGUCAAUGGGCGCAGGCCUGAACCAGCCAAGUAGCGUGAAGGAUGACUGCCCUAUGGGUUGUAAACUUCUUUUAUAUGGGAAUAAAGUUUUCCACGUGUGGAAUUUUGUAUGUACCAUAUGAAUAAGGAUCGGCUAACUCCGUGCCAGCAGCCGCGGUAAUACGGAGGAUCCGAGCGUUAUCCGGAUUUAUUGGGUUUAAAGGGAGCGUAGGUGGACAGUUAAGUCAGUUGUGAAAGUUUGCGGCUCAACCGUAAAAUUGCAGUUGAUACUGGCUGUCUUGAGUACAGUAGAGGUGGGCGGAAUUCGUGGUGUAGCGGUGAAAUGCUUAGAUAUCACGAAGAACUCCGAUUGCGAAGGCAGCUCACUGGACUGCAACUGACACUGAUGCUCGAAAGUGUGGGUAUCAAACAGGAUUAGAUACCCUGGUAGUCCACACAGUAAACGAUGAAUACUCGCUGUUUGCGAUAUACAGUAAGCGGCCAAGCGAAAGCAUUAAGUAUUCCACCUGGGGAGUACGCCGGCAACGGUGAAACUCAAAGGAAUUGACGGGGGCCCGCACAAGCGGAGGAACAUGUGGUUUAAUUCGAUGAUACGCGAGGAACCUUACCCGGGCUUAAAUUGCAUUUGAAUANUNUGGAAACAGNUUAGCCGCAAGGCAAAUGUGAAGGUGCUGCAUGGUUGUCGUCAGCUCGUGCCGUGAGGUGUCGGCUUAAGUGCCAUAACGAGCGCAACCCUUAUCUUUAGUUACUAACAGGUCAUGCUGAGGACUCUAGAGAGACUGCCGUCGUAAGAUGUGAGGAAGGUGGGGAUGACGUCAAAUCAGCACGGCCCUUACGUCCGGGGCUACACACGUGUUACAAUGGGGGGUACAGAAGGCAGCUACCUGGUGACAGGAUGCUAAUCCCAAAAGCCUCUCUCAGUUCGGAUCGAAGUCUGCAACCCGACUUCGUGAAGCUGGAUUCGCUAGUAAUCGCGCAUCAGCCAUGGCGCGGUGAAUACGUUCCCGGGCCUUGUACACACCGCCCGUCAAGCCAUGAAAGCCGGGGGUACCUGAAGUACGAACCGCAAGGAGCUCCUAG
Molecule: ribosomal RNA, 1411 nt
Filed under: bacterium NLAE-zl-P858
Lineage: Bacteria
Description: bacterial SSU rRNA
Rfam family: Bacterial small subunit ribosomal RNA
Source: RNAcentral